Molecule: unclassified non-coding RNA, 106 nt
Organism: Otolemur garnettii (small-eared galago)
Lineage: Eukaryota; Metazoa; Chordata; Mammalia; Primates; Galagidae
Rfam family: Y RNA
About the family: Y RNAs are components of the Ro ribonucleoprotein particle (Ro RNP), in association with Ro60 and La proteins.
Source: Ensembl
AGCUGGUCUGAGUGCAGGGGUGUUUACAACUAAUUGAUCACAACCAGUUACAGAUUCCUUUAUUCCUUCUCCAUUCCCACUAGGUACUUCACAUGACUAGCCUGAA